RNAcentral lists this ribosomal RNA (480 nucleotides) under uncultured bacterium. Its description in RNAcentral is "bacterial SSU rRNA". It matches the Rfam family "Bacterial small subunit ribosomal RNA", at positions 28 to 507 of the family's 1533-position model. The record is from RNAcentral.
GACGAACGCUGGCGGCGUGCCUAACACAUGCAAGUCGAGCGAGAAUCUCUUAAUUGAUCCCUUCGGGGUGAUUUUAAGAGAGGAAAGCGGCGGACGGGUGAGUAACGCGUGAGUAACCUGCCUUCAGGAGGGGGACAACAUUCCGAAAGGGAUGCUAAUACCGCAUGACAUAUAUUUGAGGCAUCUCAGAUAUAUCAAAGAUUUUAUCGCCUGAAGAUGGACUCGCGUCUGAUUAGAUAGUUGGUGGGUAACGGCCUACCAAGUCGACGAUCAGUAGCCGAACUGAGAGGUUGAUCGGCCACAUUGGGACUGAGACACGGCCCAGACUCCUACGGGAGGCAGCAGUGGGGGAUAUUGCGCAAUGGGGGCAACCCUGACGCAGCAACGCCGCGUGAAGGAAGAAGGUUUUCGGAUCGUAAACUUCUUUAAGUGGGGAAGAUAGUGACGGUACCCACAGAAUAAGCCACGGCUAACUACGUG